This 460-nucleotide ribosomal RNA is filed under the name uncultured bacterium. Its description in RNAcentral is "partial 16S ribosomal RNA". It matches the Rfam family "Bacterial small subunit ribosomal RNA", at positions 338 to 795 of the family's 1533-position model. The record is from RNAcentral.
CCUACGGGUGGCAGCAGUGAGGAAUAUUGGUCAAUGGACGCGAGCCUGAACCAGCCAAGUAGCGUGAAGGAUGACUGCCCUAUGGGUUGUAAACUUCUUUUAUAUGGGAAUAAAAUGUUCCACGUGUGGGUUUUUGUAUGUACCAUAUGAAUAAGGAUCGGCUAACUCCGUGCCAGCAGCCGCGGUAAUACGGAGGAUCCGAGUGUUAUCCGGAUUUAUUGGGUUUAAAGGGAGCGUAGGUGGAUUGUUAAGUCAGUUGUGAAAGUUUGCGGCUCAACCGUAAAAUUGCAGUUGAAACUGGCAGUCUUGAGUGCACAACAGGCAGGCGGAAUUCGUGGUGUAGCGGUGAAAUGCAUAGAUAUCACGAAGAACCCCGAUUGCGAAGGCAGCCUGCCGGGGUGCGACUGACGCUGAGGCUCGAAGGUGCGGGUAUCAAACAGGAUUAGAUACCCGAGUAGUC